GGUUGGUCCGAGUGCAGUGGUGUUUCCAAUUAAUUGAUCACAGCCAGUUACAGAUUUCUUUGUUCCUUCUCCACUCCCACUGCUUCACUUGACUAGCCUUUU
RNAcentral lists this Y RNA (102 nucleotides) under Sus scrofa (pig). RNAcentral's name for it is "Y RNA (ENSSSCG00005035544.1)". It matches the Rfam family "Y RNA". Rfam says of the family: Y RNAs are components of the Ro ribonucleoprotein particle (Ro RNP), in association with Ro60 and La proteins. The Y RNAs and Ro60 and La proteins are well conserved, but the function of the Ro RNP is not known. Lineage: Eukaryota; Metazoa; Chordata; Mammalia; Artiodactyla; Suidae. The record is from RNAcentral.